UAUGGGCGAGAGCCUGAACCANCCCAGUAGCGUGAAGGAUGACUGCCCUNCNNGUUGUAAACNUNUUUUAUAAAGGAAUAAAGUCGGGUAUGCAUNCCCGUUUGCAUGUACUUUAUGAAUAAGGAUCGGCUAACUCCGUGCCAGCAGCCGCGGUAAUACGGAGGAUCCGAGCGUUAUCCGGAUUUAUUGGGUUUAAAGGGAGCGUAGAUGGAUGUUUAAGUCAGUUGUGAAAGUUUGCGGCUCAACCGUAAAAUUGCAGUUGAUACUGGAUAUCUUAAGUGCAGUUGAGGCAGGCGGAAUUCGUGGUGUAGCGGUGAAAUGCUUAGAUAUCACGAAGAACUCCGAUUGCGAAGGCAGCCUGCUAAGCUGCAACUGACAUUGAGGCUCGAAAGUGUGGGUAUCAAACAGGAUUAGAUACCCUGGUAGUCCAAGGGCGAAUUC
This 441-nucleotide ribosomal RNA is filed under the name uncultured bacterium. RNAcentral describes it as "SSU rRNA". It matches the Rfam family "Bacterial small subunit ribosomal RNA", at positions 370 to 808 of the family's 1533-position model. The record is from RNAcentral.